UAGAGUUUGAUCAUGGCUCAGAUUGAACGCUGGCGGCAGGCCUAACACAUGCAAGUCGAACGGUAACAGGAAGCAGCUUGCUGCUUCGCUGACGAGUGGCGGACGGGUGAGUAAUGUCUGGGAAGCUGCCUGAUGGAGGGGGAUAACUACUGGAAACGGUAGCUAAUACCGCAUAAUGUCGCAAGACCAAAGAGGGGGACCUUCGGGCCUCUUGCCAUCGGAUGUGCCCAGAUGGGAUUAGCUUGUUGGUGGGGUAACGGCUCACCAAGGCGACGAUCCCUAGCUGGUCUGAGAGGAUGACCAGCCACACUGGAACUGAGACACGGUCCAGACUCCUACGGGAGGCAGCAGUGGGGAAUAUUGCACAAUGGGCGCAAGCCUGAUGCAGCCAUGCCGCGUGUAUGAAGAAGGCCUUCGGGUUGUAAAGUACUUUCAGCGGGGAGGAAGGGAGUAAAGUUAAUACCUUUGCUCAUUGACGUUACCCGCAGAAGAAGCACCGGCUAACUCCGUGCCAGCAGCCGCGGUAAUACGGAGGGUGCAAGCGUUAAUCGGAAUUACUGGGCGUAAAGCGCACGCAGGCGGUUUGUUAAGUCAGAUGUGAAAUCCCCGGGCUCAACCUGGGAACUGCAUCUGAUACUGGCAAGCUUGAGUCUCGUAGAGGGGGGUAGAAUUCCAGGUGUAGCGGUGAAAUGCGUAGAGAUCUGGAGGAAUACCGGUGGCGAAGGCGGCCCCCUGGACGAAGACUGACGCUCAGGUGCGAAAGCGUGGGGAGCAAACAGGAUUAGAUACCCUGGUAGUCCACGCCGUAAACGAUGUCGACUUGGAGGUUGUGCCCUUGAGGCGUGGCUUCCGGAGCUAACGCGUUAAGUCGACCGCCUGGGGAGUACGGCCGCAAGGUUAAAACUCAAAUGAAUUGACGGGGCCCGCACAAGCGGUGGAGCAUGUGGUUUAAUUCGAUGCAACGCGAAGAACCUUACCUGGUCUUGACAUCCACGGAAGUUUUCAGAGAUGAGAAUGUGCCUUCGGGAACCGUGAGACAGGUGCUGCAUGGCUGUCGUCAGCUCGUGUUGUGAAAUGUUGGGUUAAGUCCCGCAACGAGCGCAACCCUUAUCCUUUGUUGCCAGCGGUCCGGCCGGGAACUCAAAGGAGACUGCCAGUGAUAAACUGGAGGAAGGUGGGGAUGACGUCAAGUCAUCAUGGCCCUUACGACCAGGGCUACACACGUGCUACAAUGGCGCAUACAAAGAGAAGCGACCUCGCGAGAGCAAGCGGACCUCAUAAAGUGCGUCGUAGUCCGGAUUGGAGUCUGCAACUCGACUCCAUGAAGUCGGAAUCGCUAGUAAUCGUGGAUCAGAAUGCCACGGUGAAUACGUUCCCGGGCCUUGUACACACCGCCCGUCACACCAUGGGAGUGGGUUGCAAAAGAAGUAGGUAGCUUAACCUUCGGGAGGGCGCUUACCACUUUGUGAUUCAUGACUGGGGUGAAGUCGUAACAAGGUAACCGUAGGGGAACCUGCGGCUGGAUCACCUCCUUA
RNAcentral lists this ribosomal RNA (1535 nucleotides) under uncultured Enterobacteriaceae bacterium. RNAcentral's name for it is "16S ribosomal RNA". It matches the Rfam family "Bacterial small subunit ribosomal RNA". Lineage: Bacteria; Pseudomonadati; Pseudomonadota; Gammaproteobacteria; Enterobacterales; Enterobacteriaceae. The record is from RNAcentral.